AAGACUAUACUUUCAGGGAUCAUUUCUACAGUGUGUUACUGAAGUUUCUCUGAAGGUGUAGAGCACCAGAAACCACAAGGAGGAGGCACAGCGUUCUCUCCUGAGCAUGAAGCCAGCUCUUGGUAUACUUUUGCUGCAGCUGCCAUUUGCCAUUGAUACUCAUUUUUCUCCUCAUUCUGGAGAGUAACAGGGAGAGGAUGUAAUCUGAGUGGU
Molecule: small nucleolar RNA, 213 nt
Filed under: Prolemur simus (greater bamboo lemur)
Lineage: Eukaryota; Metazoa; Chordata; Mammalia; Primates; Lemuridae
Description: Small nucleolar RNA U3 (ENSPSMG00000000868.1)
Rfam family: Small nucleolar RNA U3
About the family: Small nucleolar RNAs (snoRNAs) are involved in the processing and modification of rRNA in the nucleolus. There are two main classes of snoRNAs: the box C/D class, and the box H/ACA class. U3 snoRNA is a member of the box C/D class.
Source: Rfam by way of RNAcentral